AUGUUUGCCCUUCCCUUGGGCAAAGCUCCGGGACCUGACGACUACACCACGGAUUUCUUCAAGAGAUGCUGGGAGGUGAUCAAGCAUGAUGUCUUUGCAGCUCUGCACCAAUUCUUCGCCCUACGCGGCAAGCACUUCCACCUGCUCAAUUCUGCCUACAUAACACUACUGCCAAAAUCCAAUGAGGCCGUCAAAGUAAAAGACUUCCGCCCGAUAAGCUUGAUCCACUCAGUGGGAAAGAUUGCCGGAAAGUUGCUCUCCAUCCGACUUGCCCCAUUCCCGCAGCUGCUAAUUCCCCCCUCCCAGAGUGCGUUCAUCAAAUCCAAAAGCAUUCAUGACAACUUUCUCUUCGUCAAAAACGCGAUCCGUAGCCUACACCAGCACAAGGACCCAGCUCUGUUGCUCAAGAUGGACAUCAUCGGUGCUUUUGACAAUAUCUCUUGA
Molecule: ribosomal RNA, 444 nt
Filed under: Triticum aestivum (bread wheat)
Lineage: Eukaryota; Viridiplantae; Streptophyta; Magnoliopsida; Poales; Poaceae
Description: partial small subunit ribosomal RNA
Source: RNAcentral